GUCCAUUCUAAAAACCUAAAACAAACAUCCCAAAAAUAAGGACAGUGUGAUAUGUGGAUGAUAUCGAAUUGAAUGGCUAUUUCUUGCCACCGACAAUCGUAAGCAAAGGCAGAUGAAGGACAAGAGUUGCCAGGACUAUGAGUGGAAGCUAUAGCUACCUUUCUGAGCCUGGAUCCAUGAAACAGCCUUCAUGGCCACAAACUGCCAAUCCUCCUGAGCCUCCAUCUUGAAACCAUAGAGCCAUACCAGGGCUAGGACCGUGGCCCACACCUCCUGGUCCACCUUAGAUAGGGAGAGACAGACAGACAGAUGAGAGACAGAGAAAGUAAGGGAUAGAGAAAGAGAAAGAUGAUGA
Non-coding RNA from Salmo salar (Atlantic salmon), 355 nucleotides. Lineage: Eukaryota; Metazoa; Chordata; Actinopteri; Salmoniformes; Salmonidae. The record is from RefSeq and is a predicted model, not a curated record.